AAAUCUCAUAAAUAAAAACUUUUUUGUUUAAAUUUGUGGACUUGGAUUUGCGAUUUUAUAAAUUGCUGAUCUAAAAUGAAUUUCAUGAAGCUUAUAUAUUGCUUUGUUCCUUUGCUUAAUAGUUUUGCUUUGUCAAAUCUUUUGCAAUUGUUUACAAAUGCGCAAAAAGUGAAUUGAUUUUUUACGAAUCUAUAUCUCAUU
RNAcentral lists this unclassified non-coding RNA (201 nucleotides) under uncultured Mucoromycota. RNAcentral's name for it is "sequence contains ITS2". Lineage: Eukaryota; Fungi; Mucoromycota. The record is from RNAcentral.